CUUGGUCAUUUAGAGGAAGUAAAAGUCGUAACAAGGUUUCCGUAGGUGAACCUGCGGAAGGAUCAUUACUGAGUGAAAGGCUUGAACCAAAGCCCCAUCUCCCAACCCUUGUCUUCUGUACCCACUUUGCUUUGGCAGGCCCGCCACUAUUGUGGCCGCUGAAGGUUUCUUAGUUAUAAAUUAUUAGCUAAACCUUGGGCCUGUGCCUGCCAGGGAACUUAAAUACGUGUCAUAACUGGUUUGUCUGAGAAUCCAAAGAAAAUAAACUAAAACUUUCAACAACGGAUCUCUUGGUUCUGGCAUCGAUGAGGAACGCAGCGAAAUGCGACAAGUAAUGUGAAUUGCAGAAUUCCGUGAAUCAUCGAAUCUUUGAACGCACAUCGCGCCCUCUGGUAUUCCGGAGGGCAUGCCUGUCCGAGCGUCAUUGCUAUACCUCAAGCCCGGCUUGUAUGUUGGGCUUACUGUCUUGUUGGACAGUGGCCCGAAAGGCAGAGGCAGGGUUGUAGUCCGGUCUUUUCAAUGCGUAUGGGGCAUUGUCACCCGCUUGAAGGCUGGCCGAUCCUCUAUGCCUAUUGUGGAUUUUAUCCACCAUCAAUUUUUUUCUGAUGGACCUCGGAUCAGGUAGGGAUACCCGCUGAACUUAAGCAUAUCAAUAAGCGGAGGA
This 664-nucleotide ribosomal RNA is filed under the name uncultured fungus. Its description in RNAcentral is "eukaryotic LSU rRNA". The stretch from base 271 to 424 matches the Rfam family "5.8S ribosomal RNA". The record is from RNAcentral. Lineage: Eukaryota; Fungi.